RNAcentral lists this ribosomal RNA (373 nucleotides) under uncultured organism. RNAcentral describes it as "partial 16S ribosomal RNA". It matches the Rfam family "Bacterial small subunit ribosomal RNA", at positions 527 to 896 of the family's 1533-position model. The record is from RNAcentral.
GUUGGUGGCAAGCGUUGUCCGGAAUUAUUGGGCGUAAAGCGCGCGCAGGCGGUUCUUCAAGUCUGAUGUGAAAGCCCACGGCUCAACCGUGGAGGGUCAUUGGAAACUGGAGAACUUGAGUACAGAAGAGGAAAGCGGAAUUCCACGUGUAGCGGUGAAAUGCGUAGAGAUGUGGAGGAACACCAGUGGCGAAGGCGGCUUUCUGGUCUGUAACUGACGCUGAGGCGCGAAAGCGUGGGGAGCAAACAGGAUUAGAUACCCUGGUAGUCCACGCCGUAAACGAUGAGUGCUAAGUGUUAGGGGGGUUUCCGCCCCCCUUAGUGCUGCAGCUAACGCAUUAAGCACUCCGCCUGGGAGUACGGCCGCAAGGCUG